CAAUAGCGUAUAUUAAAGUUGUUGCAGUUAAAAAGCUCGUAGUUGGAUUUGUGGCGUACGGUGUGUUCCGGGCACUUGUUGUCUGAGUAACCUGCUGUUGCCAUCCUUGGGUGGAACCUGUGUGGCAUUAGGUUGUCGUGCAGGGGAUGCCCAUCAUUUACUGUGAAAAAAUUAGAGUGUUCAAAGCAGGCUUAUGCCGUUGAAUAUAUUAGCAUGGAAUAAUGAGAUAGGACUUUUUUGCUAUUUUGUUGGUUUGCGCAAAGAGGUAAUGAUUAAUAGGGACAGUUGGGGGUAUUCGUAUUCCAUUGUCAGAGGUGAAAUUCUUGGAUUUUUGGAAGACGGACUACUGCGAAAGCAUUUGCCAAGGAUGUUUUCAUUGA
RNAcentral lists this ribosomal RNA (380 nucleotides) under uncultured eukaryote. RNAcentral describes it as "partial 18S ribosomal RNA". It matches the Rfam family "Eukaryotic small subunit ribosomal RNA", at positions 592 to 976 of the family's 1831-position model. The record is from RNAcentral.